RNAcentral lists this long non-coding RNA (1470 nucleotides) under Homo sapiens (human). RNAcentral's name for it is "non-protein coding lnc-SYNE3-3:5". The record is from RNAcentral. Lineage: Eukaryota; Metazoa; Chordata; Mammalia; Primates; Hominidae.
AGGUUUUGGAACUAGACUACUGCAAUGAAACAACUUUCUCUGUUAGGGAAGUGUCCUGGGCUGUCAAGAAUUAUCAUCAAGAGCAGCAGGUUUUAUAAGAUACAUGGACCUAUUUGGCAUUUACCAGCCCAUGCCGCUAGGAUAGAGGGACAGGGCUGGGCCCCAAGUGUGGGCUUCCCGGAAGAGCCAAGCACCGGCUGCUCAUAUGGGAUGGGUGGGGGUGGUGCAGGUGCCCUGCAUGGGUUCCACUGCCCUAAAGAGGGUACAAAGGCCACACCUCCGUGUGUCUGCCAGGGCUGGGUUCAGAGCCUCCCUGGCUUCCUGGGCACUCUGCCUAUCACACAGCGAUUCCAAUAUGAUCACAUGUUCAGAACAGCCACACUUGUCAAAGCAAGGAGAGAACACUUCAGCAACGUUCAAAAACAUGUCUCCAGGGAUUAAAAAAAAAACACGGAAAGCUUCAUUUUCCUCCCUAGUGGGGAAGUCUUCCUUACUCACAGCCUCUUCCUGAGUUGGUGUCUGUCGUGAAGCAUUCUUUGGAAGCAUAGUAAGCGGAGGGUUUAAUUUACCAUAGUCGUACACAUUUGCACAGAAUCUAAAGUUUGCAGUGCGUUUCAUCAUCUUUAUGUGAAUCUCAUGCAGCUCUUACAGGGAAAACAGGAAGAACUGGCCCCAUUUUCUAAAUGUGGAGACAGGAGGAGGUGAGAUGGCUCGCCUCUGCCCAGCCGACUGGGAAAUGCAGAGCUCAGAGAGACAGCAAGUCAGGAGAUGUUGAUCCAGGGAGCUUUUCACUCUGCCACCCACCCCAUCGAUGGAAGCACCGACAUUAUCAAGGCUGCAUUUAGAUUUCAAAACAAAAGCAAGCAAACAUGCCGGGCUCGUGGUAUGCUGUUGUUUUAACCGAAAUGAUACAGCUGAAAGGGUGAGCAGCCAUCAGUGCUGUGAGCGAAGCGUGAUCACACAUCUUGUAUGUUUAGCAACUCAGGAGGUAGCUGAGCCUGGAAGUGACUUUCCUGCCAAAAACCAGGAACAACCCGGAUGUCCUUCAACAAGGGAAGGGUGACCCAGCCCGUGAUGCAUCCGUCACACUGUGGAUUGCUGCUCAGCAACGAGGAGGCACAGACUCGAUACGGGAGCCAGCCUGGGUGACGCUCCAGAGAACUACCCUGAGUGGAGAAGGGCAGUCCCACCGUGUGAUUCCAUUAUUAUCACAUUCUUGAAAUGACAGAAUUAUAGAAAGGAGAACAGAGGAGUGGCUGCCAGAGUUUAAGGAGGGAAUGGGGAAAGGGGGAAGAGCAGCAUGCGGGAUCCUUGUGACGGAAGCGUUUUGUGUCGUGUGGGUGUCUGUCAGUUUCCUAGCUGUGAUACUGUACCAUUGUCUUGUAAGAUGCUGCCAUCGGUGGAAACUGGGUAAAGCAUAUAGGGGACCUCUCUGUAUGAUUUCUUACAACUGCAUGUGAAUUUACAGUG